This 240-nucleotide unclassified non-coding RNA is filed under the name soil metagenome. RNAcentral's name for it is "partial contains 5.8S ribosomal RNA, internal transcribed spacer 2, and large subunit ribosomal RNA". The record is from RNAcentral.
AACUGAUACUACCUGCGGGAACCUGCGGAAGGAUCAUUACCGAGUUUUCAACUCCCUAACCCUUCUGUGAACCUACCUAUCGUUGCUUCGGCGGACUCGCCCCAGCCCGGACGCGGACUGGACCAGCGGCCCGCCGGGGACCUCAAACUCUUGUAUUCCAGCAUCUUCUGAAUACGCCGCAAGGCAAAACAAAUGAAUCAAAACUUUUAGCAACGGAUCUCUAGAUCGGAUGAGCACACG